UAAGGAAUAUUGGUCAAUGGAGGCAACUCUGAACCAGCCAUGCCGCGUGCAGGAAGACAGCCCUCUGGGUCGUAAACUGCUUUUAUUCGGGAAUAAACCACAUUACGUGUAAUGUGCUGAAUGUACCGAAGGAAUAAGGAUCGGCUAACUCCGUGCCAGCAGCCGCGGUAAUACGGAGGAUCCAAGCGUUAUCCGGAUUUAUUGGGUUUAAAGGGUGCGUAGGCGGCUUAUUAAGUCAGGGGUGAAAGACGGUGGCUCAACCAUCGCAGUGCCUUUGAUACUGAUGAGCUUGAAUACACUAGAGGUAGGCGGAAUGUGACAAGUAGCGGUGAAAUGCAUAGAUAUGUCACAGAACACCGAUUGCGAAGGCAGCUUACUAUGGUGUGAUUGACGCUGAGGCACGAAAGCGUGGGGAUCAAACA
RNAcentral lists this ribosomal RNA (422 nucleotides) under uncultured Pedobacter sp. Its description in RNAcentral is "bacterial SSU rRNA". It matches the Rfam family "Bacterial small subunit ribosomal RNA", at positions 355 to 774 of the family's 1533-position model. The record is from RNAcentral. Lineage: Bacteria; Pseudomonadati; Bacteroidota; Sphingobacteriia; Sphingobacteriales; Sphingobacteriaceae.